GUCGCGAGAAGUCCACUGAACCUUAUCAUUUAGAGGAAGGAGAAAGUCGUAAACAAGGUUUCCGUAGGUGAACCUGCGGAAGGAUCAUUGUCGAAACCUGCCCAGCAGAACGACUCGCGAACUGUGGUUAUAACUCGUCGGGGGGCGUUGGGGCCACUUCCCACCGCCCUUCGGCAAAAGGUCUCGGGGGGCACCGGAGACAAACGCCUCGGGUGCCCGGCGGGACCUGCAACCAAACCCCGGCGCAGAACGCGCCAAGGACAACUAAAUCUAGGAGGGAUCUUCCCUGCAUUCCCGGAAACGGUGCGUGCUAGGACGAUCCGCCGAAAAUCACGAACCAAAACGACUCUCGGCAACGGAUAUCUCGGCUCUCGCAUCGAUGAAGAACGUAGCAAAAUGCGAUACUUGGUGUGAAUUGCAGAAUCCCGUGAACCAUCGAGUCUUUGAACGCAAGUUGCGCCCGAAACCCCGGUUGAGGGCACGUCUGCCUGGGUGUCACACAACGUUGUCCCACCAAUAUCCCUUCCCACAAAAGGAAGGGAGGGANGGAUGCUGGUCUCCCGUGAGUCUUUUCUCGCGGUUGGCCUAAAUGCAUGUCACGGCGAUGGGAGCCCCGACCAACGGUGGUNGAACGAACCUCGGCUAAGGUUACGGCCUCCCGUCCCNNCACGGCANACGAGACCCCCGCGUUCCUCGGAACGCCACAACUGCGACCCCCAGGACAGGCGGGGAUUAACCGCUGAAUU
Molecule: ribosomal RNA, 746 nt
Filed under: Blepharandra sp. LAMOL/UEFS 2777-04
Lineage: Eukaryota; Viridiplantae; Streptophyta; Magnoliopsida; Malpighiales; Malpighiaceae
Description: eukaryotic LSU rRNA
Rfam family: 5.8S ribosomal RNA (bases 345-498)
Source: RNAcentral